AUGGCGGCAGUCAACAGCAACAACAGCAGCACAGGCAGAGGAGCAGUAGCAUCAACACGGAUCAGCAAUAGCAGCAUAGGCAGAGGAGCAGUAGCAUCAACACGGGAAGAGGAGCAGCAGCAGCACCACGGGCUAGCUCCACCGGCGGCAGGGGAGAAACAGAGAAACAAGAUGCAGCAACACGGGCUAGCACCACCGGCGGGCACGCAGGCAGAGAAGGAGCACGACGGCUGCGCGUGGGAGCUCGACGAGGACUCGCGGGAAACCACGGAGGGCGCGCGCGAGCUGCUAUCCACCAGAUCGUGGAGGCUGGCUCCGGCGAUGCCCGUAGUUGGAUCGCGGUGGCGCACGGGAGGCAGCUCAAGGAGGACUCGCGGGAGCUCGAGGACGAUGAGAAGGAGCUCCUGCUCCACCGGAUCAUGGUGGCAAACUCCGGCGAUGCCCGCAGGUAAUCACCGCGGGAGGGGAUCGCGGCGGCGCAGGUCUGGGCGGCGGUGGCGGAGCAAGUACUUGGCGACGGCGGCGGCGUUGAAGGUACGUGGCGGCGGAGGCGGAACACUUCCUGGUGGGCGGCAAUCACGCAGCUUGGCGGCGCCGGCCCCUGGAGACGCAUGGGCGACGGCGGAGGAAGAAGACAGGGGUGGAGGGACUUGUUUGCGAUUAUUUUAA
This 669-nucleotide ribosomal RNA is filed under the name Triticum aestivum (bread wheat). Its description in RNAcentral is "partial small subunit ribosomal RNA". The record is from RNAcentral. Lineage: Eukaryota; Viridiplantae; Streptophyta; Magnoliopsida; Poales; Poaceae.